RNAcentral lists this unclassified non-coding RNA (353 nucleotides) under soil metagenome. Its description in RNAcentral is "partial contains 5.8S ribosomal RNA, internal transcribed spacer 2, and large subunit ribosomal RNA". The stretch from base 1 to 120 matches the Rfam family "5.8S ribosomal RNA", at positions 35 to 154 of the family's 154-position model. The record is from RNAcentral.
GAUGAAGAACGCAGCGAAAUGCGAUAAGUAAUGUGAAUUGCAGAAUUCAGUGAAUCAUCGAAUCUUUGAACGCACAUUGCGCCCGCCAGUAUUCUGGCGGGCAUGCCUGUUCGAGCGUCAUUACAACCCUCAGGCCCCCGGGCCUGGCGUUGGGGAUCGGCGGAAGCCCCCUGCGGGCACAACGCCGUCCCCCAAAUACAGUGGCGGUCCCGCCGCAGCUUCCAUUGCGUAGUAGCUAACACCUCGCAACUGGAGAGCGGCGCGGCCACGCCGUAAAACACCCAACUUCUGAAUGUUGACCUCGAAUCAGGUAGGAAUACCCGCUGAACUUAAGCAUAUCAAUAAGCGGGGGA